AGACGCUGUUAGUCGUGAUGAAGAAAGAACCUUUCUCGGGGGAGGGUUUUUCUUUGUGUUUGGGAUGUGUUUGGUUCUGUGAUUUCCCCGAAUGUAAGAAAACUCGGCUGCAUAACUUGUGGUAGUGGAGGACUGCUUUUGGGCUUUCCUGUG
Molecule: small nuclear RNA, 153 nt
Filed under: Gorilla gorilla gorilla (western lowland gorilla)
Lineage: Eukaryota; Metazoa; Chordata; Mammalia; Primates; Hominidae
Description: U1 spliceosomal RNA (ENSGGOG00000032573.2)
Rfam family: U1 spliceosomal RNA
About the family: U1 is a small nuclear RNA (snRNA) component of the spliceosome (involved in pre-mRNA splicing). Its 5' end forms complementary base pairs with the 5' splice junction, thus defining the 5' donor site of an intron.
Source: RNAcentral